GCAAGAUAUCUCAACAUUCAAGAUUUUCAAAGAAAUUUUAUUCAUACUUUUGAAUUUCUAUUUUACUUAAUUAUUCGUACUAUGAGAAUAUAGAGCCACAUGACUUUUCUUAAUAAUAAUGGGUACUAACUAGUUCAACUCUUUACAUUUCUUAAUUUUAAAUUUUGCUAGGCUGGGUGCAGUGGCUCACGCCUAUAAUCCCAGCACUUUGCGGGGGCCGAGGCGGGUGGAUCACUUGAGGUCAGGAGUUGGAGACCAGCCUGGCCAUAAGCUUCAAUUUAAGCAUAAAUAAUAAUUUAAGAUGUAUCCUUGAUCUAUUGUGCAGCCCUUAGCAAAAAGCCUUGAAUCGUUAGGUGAUAUCUCAUUAGAACAGCGGCUUAAUUUCAAUAUUGAAGCUGCUCUCCAAACAAUGAAGAAAAGCAGAAAUCUCUACAUUUUCUAUUUCUCAACCACUCCCAGUGCUCAUUUAUAGGAAUUACCCCUAAAUUUUCCCAGUUAACCUUUCAGGGAAACACAAACCCACAGCCACAGAAAACUUUCGUCUCUCUACACUUAUACUCUCUUACUUAUACUCACUGCCUCUACACAGUCAUAUUCACUCUCUACACACUCCUCUCUUUUCCCAAGAAAGAGCUCUGUUACAGGCAGAGGAGAAAAUGGAGUGCCCUAGGAUACACAAUGGGGCCACUGUACUAAAAGGUGGAGCUUUUAGUAGAAGUAGAGGUAUUAUAAAUAGAACUGAAGAGGGGAAGCUUUUCUCCCUCCAAUCUCUAUGAUCUUUAUUCCUGGCCUUAGAGUUACUGUAAAUCCCAGAUAUUGGGGCUCCUCCAACUUGGGAGGGGUGGAGGUUAUGGAGGAAACAGGAUGGAACCAAACCAAAAAGGCAAACUGGGUCUAGCGCUAGAGGGGAAAGAGGGGCCCUCGGAACACACAAGAUACAGGCCGGUUCACCAAGGUAGGAGAAAGAACUGGAAGAGGUUAAUAGCUCACUAAUAACGAAGAGCAUGCCAUUUGUCCUUGGUGCACUCACAACACUUUUUAGGGGUGGCAGCAGCCACAUAGGUGGCUGACAGGGAUUCUAGUCCUCUUUUCUCACCAUAACAUUCCCAGGCUUCUUUCCUUUGUCCUCUCUAGUUUACAAUCUAAAUAGGUGCUUCCAACCUUGAUUUUUUAAAAUCAAAGCCUUAAACAACAACAAAAAUCACCACACCCAGUUUUAUGAUUGCCUCCAUAAAAUAGACCAGGCACCUUUCCAUGAUGCCAGGCCAAUGGGCAGGGUGUGCUAGGGUAAUAUGCCACUAUUAUGCCCUCCCUUAAAAAAAAAAAAAAAAACCUGAAGAUCAUCACAAAUGUCUCCACUGCCUUUUUUUUUUUUUUUUUUUUUUGAGACAGAGUUUUACUCUUGAUGCCCAGGCUGGAGUGCAAUGGCACUGUCUCAGCUUACCGCAAGCUCUGCCUCCCGGGUUCAAGCAAUUCUCCUGCCUCAGCCUCCCGAGUAGCUGGGAUUACAGGCACCCGCCACCACGCCCGACUAAUUUUGUAUUUUUAGUAGAGACGGGGGUUUCUCCAUGUUGGUCAGGCUGGUCUCGAACUCCCGACCGCCAGGUGAUCCGCCCACCUCAGCUUUCCAAAGUGCUGGGAUUACAGGCGUGAGCCACCGGGCCAGGUCAGUUACUCCUUAAGUAUGCAAAAGCACUCAACAAAAAAACACCUCAGGGGAUCAUGCCUGCUGGGUGGUCUUUAAAGGAAAUGGGCUACUUUCCUAUACUGGAAAAAAACACCUGACAGAAAAAAAGACGCUCUAGAGUAGCUGAAAAUAAAAUGCCUGGCUAAUGCAGAACCUGAUGAAGAAAUAGGAUGAAGUGUAACAUUCUACUGAGGUCAUGAUAUCCCAGCAUAAGGCAGAGUUUUAAAUCUUGUUUCUCAACAGGGGGAGGAGUGGGGGCCAAUUCAAAUGUCACCUACUCCCCAGGCAAAAUUAAUCACUUCCUCAUUUAUUAUAUUUCCCAGUAGUACUUUUAGAAACCAGGUAUCUUCAGAAAUAAGUCUUACUGUCUAGUAAGUACAACAUUUUCAAGAAAUAAGUCCCAAUUUUUUUUAUAUUUAAAUGCCUCUGAAAUCAGGAUAGGUCUUACAAUCAGUGUUAAGAGAAACUAGCCAGCUACCAGGAGAAAAGUAGAUGGAGAAGUAACACAAUUGUUGACAUAGUUUGGAUAUUGGUCCCCAUCCAAAUCUCAUGUUGAACUAUAAUCCCCAGUGUUGGAGAUGGGGCCUGGUGGGAGGUGAUUGGAUCAUGGGGGCGGUUUUCUCUUGAAUGGUUUAGCACCAUUCCCUUGCUGCUGUUCUUGUGAUAGGGAGUGAGUUUUCAUGAGAUCUGGUCAUUUAAGAGUGUGUGGCACUCUGUCUCUCACUCUUGAUUUCACCAUGUGAUGCGCCUCCUCCCCAUUCACCUUCCACCAUGAUUGGAAGCUUCCUAGGCCUCCCCAGAAGCAGAUGCCACUAUGCUUCCUGUACAGUCUUCAGAACCGUGAGCCAAUUAAAUUUCUUUUCUUAUAAAUUACCCAGUCUCAGCCAGGCACAGUGGCUCACACCUAUAAUCCCAGCACUUUGGGAGGCAGAGGUGGGUGGAUCACUUGAGGUCAGGAGUUCAAGACCAGCCUGAUCAACACAAUGAAACCCCAUCUCUACUAAAAAAAGAAAAAAAAAUAGCAAGGUGUGAUGGUGUGUGCCUAUAAUCCCAGCUACUCCGGAGGCUGAGGCAGGAGGAUCACUUGAACCCAGGAAGUGGAAGUUGCAGUGAGCCAAGAUUGCACCACUGCACUCCAGCCUGGGUAACAGAGCAAGACUCUGUCUCAGAAAAAGGAAAAGGAAUUACCCAGUCUCAGGUAUUUCUUUCUAGCAAUGCAAAAAUGGACCAACACAGAAAAUUGGUACCAAGGAGUAGGGCACUGCCAUAAAGAUACCUGAAAAUGUGGAACCGACUUUGCAACUGGGUAACAAGUAUAGGUUGGAAGAGUUUGGAGGGCUCAGAAGAAGAUAGGAAGGUGAGGGAAAGUUUGGAACUUCUUAGAGACUGGUUAAAUAGUUUCAACCAAAAUGCUGAUAGUGAUAUGGACAAUGAAGGCCAGGCUGACAAGGUCUCAGAUGGAAGUGAGAAACUUCUUGAGAACUAAAACAAAGGUCACAUUUGUUGUGUCUUAGCAAAGAGCUUGGCUGUGUUCUGUCCACGCCCUAGGGAUCUGUGGAACUUUUAACUAAAGGGUGAUGAUCUAAGUGUCUGACAGAAGAAUUUUUUUUUUUUUUUUUUGAGACUGAGUCUCGCUCUGUCACCCAGGCUGGAGUGCAGUGGUGCAUCUUGGCUCACUGCAACCUCUGCCUCCCGGGUUCAAGCAAUUCUCAUGCCUCAGCCUCCUGAGUAGCAGGGAUUACAGGCACCCACCACCAUGCCCAGCUAAUUUUUGUAUUUUUAAUAGAGAUGAGAUUUCACCAUGUUGACCAGGCUGGUCUCGAACUCCUGACCUCAGGUGAUCCGCCCACCUCAGCCUCCCAAAGUGCUGGGAUUACAGGCAUAAGCCACCACACCUGGCCAGCAGAAGAAAUUUCUCAGCAGCAAAGCAUUGAAGUUGUGGCAUGGCUGCUUCUGACAGCCUAACUUAAAUGUGGGAGCAAAGAAAUGACUUAAAGUUGGAAUUUAUAUUUAAACAGGAAGCACAGCAUAAAAGUUUGAAAAAUUUGCAGCCUGGCUAUGUGGCAAAGAAAGAAAAAGCUUUUUCAGGAGAGGAAUUCAAGCAGGCUGUGGAGAGCCACCAUUUGCUAGACAAAUUUGCUUGACUAAAAAGGACCCAAGAACUAAUUCCAAAGACAAUGGGAAAAAGACCUCAAAGGCAUUUUAGAGACCUUCAUGGCAGCCUCUCCCAUUAUAUGCCCAGUGGCCUAGGAGGGAAGAAUGGUUUCCUGGACCAAGCCCAGGGCCCUGCUGCCCUGCACAGCCUUGGGACACUGCUUCCCACAUCCAGGCUGCUCCACCUCUACCCACAGCUCAAAGGGGCCCAAGUACAGCUUGGGCUGCAGUUCCAGAUGGUGGAAGCCAAAAGCCUUGGUGGCUUCCAUGUAGUGUUAAGCCUGCGGUGUACAGAGCACAAGACUUGAGGUUUGCCACCCUCCACCUUGAUUUCAGAGGAUGUAUGGACAAGUCUGGGUGUCCAGGCAGAAGACUGCUGCAGGGGUGGAGCCUUCACAGAGAACCUCUACUAGGUCAAUGCCAAGGGGAAUUGUAAGGUUGGCACACUGAUAUGGUUUGGCUGUGUCCCCACACAAAUCUCACCUUGAUUUGUAACAAUCUCCACGUGUCAAAGGUGGGGCCAGGUGGAGAUAAUUAAAUCGUGGCAGUGGUUUCCCUCAUACUAUUCUAGUGGUAGUGAAUAAGUUCCCUGAGAUCUGAUGGUUUUAUAAAUGGGAGUUGCACUGCACAAGCUCUCUUGUCUGCUGCCAUAUAAGAUUUGACUUUGCCCCUCAUUUGCCUUCUGCCAUGGUUGUGAGCCCCACCCCACGGUGGAACUGUGAGUCAAUUAAACCCCUUUCCUUUAUAAAUUACCCAGUCUCGGGUAUGUCUUUAUUAGCAGUGUGAGAACAGAUUAAUACACAUUCCCCACACAGAGUUCCCAAUGGGGCACACUGCCUAGUGGAGCUGUGAGAAGAGGGCCACCAUCCUCCAGAUCCAAGAAUGGUAGAUCCAACAGCAGCUUGCACCCUGUGCCUGGCAAAGCCACAGGCACUCAACUCGAGCCCAUGAGAGCAGUCAUGGGUGAUGAAUCCUGCAAAGCCACAGGGACAGAGCUGCUCCAUGCCUUGGGAGCCCACCCACUGCACCGGUAUGCCCAGCAUAUGGGACAUGGAGUCAAAGAUUAUGUUAGAGCUUUAAGAUCUAAUGACUGCCCUUCCAGCUUUCAAACUUGCAUGGGGCCUGUAGCACCUUUCUUGUUGGCUGAUUUCUCCAUUCUGAAAUGGGAAUGUUUAUCCAAUGCUUGUACUAUAACUGUCAGGCCUCACAGGAUAGCUUUUCAGGAAAUUGUAACCAUGCUGUGUAGGCAGAAUUCUGAGAUGACUGCCCAAGAUUCCCAAUCCUUGGCUAUUCAAUCAAACACUAAUCUAGGCACUAUUUUGAAGGGAUUUUGCAGAUGCAAUUAAGGCACUAAACAGUUGAUCUUAAGAUGGGGAAAUUAUCCUGGUCAUCACAUGAGCCAUUUAUAAGUAGAGAGAUUCCUUUAGCUGGCAAAAGAAGUCAGAGACUCAAAGCAUGGGAUGGUUCAAUGGGCCAUUGCUGGUAUUGAAUAUGGAGGGGUCCACAUGGAAAGGACUUGAGAGCAGCCUCGAGAAGCUAAGAGUGGCCCCUGACUGAUAGUCAGCAAGGAAACAGGGACCUCAGACCUAUAACUGCAAGGAACUUGAUUCUACCUAUAGCCUAAAUGAGCUUGGAAGCAGAUUCUCCUCACAGUCUCAAGAUAAGUCCUUAAUCUAGUGGAUAUUUUAAUCUUGACCUUGUAAGACUCUGAGCAAAGAACCCAGUCAAGCUUGCCUGUACUUCAAUAGAAAACUAAUACAUACACUUAAGGAAACUUGAGUGUGUGGGGAGGGGGUUGGGGUGGCUUAUAAGUAAUGUUACCAAACAUGCUAAUGGUAAACUUUUGUAUAAAAAGGCCUAUGAGCUAGCUGGAUACCCUGCUUCUCUCUGAUAGGACUAACUCCAUAUAGUUCAUGAGUCUUUUGAGCAGAUGUAGUUCGUAAUAAAUCCGAUACUCCAUUUGGUCUAUGUAAUUACUGAUCUUCUUUGUUUCUCUAUACUUUGAACACCUUGGGCAAAGAGAUAGAACACCUUGUUCUAGAAAUAGAACAAAGGGUCAGUAAACUUCAGAAUACCAUCAAGUGGCUGUCUGUCAAGUACCAGUUUUCAUCUUUGUGAAACUUCAAGUGUUACCUAUCACUGCUUAACUCCUUAACCAACUCAUUUGAGAGAAACCUAUUUCAUCUUGUCCUAAAGAUAUUCAGAUAUUCCGGAUCUUGUGUUUAAGCACAGCUCCUGCCAGAUAUUCCAACUUCAGCCAUUUCUUCAACUCUUGGUUUUUCAGAUGGAGGAAAAGUUUUGAACUACCUGUUGGUAGUUGCAGCUAUUUACCAACUGCUUACCAUGUUCCAGAAAAUGCUAGGUGCUUUAUUUAUAUUGUCUCAUUUAAUCUUCACAAUAACCCUAUGAGGAAAUAUAAUUAUCCUCAUUUUACAAAUGAGAAAACAGGCACAAAGAGGUUAGAUAUUUUGCUUAAGGCCAUAAGAUUCAGAGUUAGGAUCAAGCUUCCAUCUCUCUGAUUCUAAAAUCUCUGUCAAAUCAUCAUUCAACACCGUGUCCUAGUUUAUGGACAGCAUAUCAAUGAGCAGGUGUUCAUUCACUUCUUAAAUAUGCCUAAUUGCCUCUGAAAACCUUUCAACAAACAUUUGUGAACACCCAUAUCCUAGUCUAGGAACAAUAUAUAAAAACAGAGACCCGGAAGUUGUGGGAGGAAGCCAGGAAGUCAGCCCAGAAUGGAGUUGGGGCAUUGGUUUCCGGGCUGGGGUUAGAAUAGGCCACAAGGUUCUACUGCAGUCUCAAGGCCUAAGACAAAGGACAAAUCUAAAGAUUCAUCAAGAGACAGAAAUCGCUCAUAGGAAUCAUGAGCUCAUUGGAGAGUCAGACCAAAGUAUGGGGAAAGAGCGGUAAACGAGGCAGGGAACACCAGACCCCAUCACAGGGUCAGAACCUGAGACAAGCCUGCAUGGCAGGGUUCCCCACGGCAAACCCCUGAAACAUCUACAGGGAUGACAAUGGGUUACUAGUAACAACAGCUAACUCAUAAUGAGUGCCCCUUAGGUCCAGUUGUAAGUAUUUGAUCUCAUUUGACCUUCACAACAAUCCUAUGAGGUAGGAACUACUAGAAUUUUCAAUUUAAGGAUAAGGAAACUGAAAUCAGAAAGGUUAACAAUGUUCCAAAAAUUACACAACUAGUUAGUGACAUACUCAGUAUUCAAACUGCAUUGGACCCAAAGCCCACAUAUGUGAACGCUAUUCUCCACUAAUGCACAUGAGGACCUAGAGGGCUGAGUUGAAAGAUUUGUGAGGCCACAUCCACCAAAGAAUGUGAUGGACAUAGACCUGACAAAGCACUCUCAAGAAGCUUUCAGACAUCAAGAUAGAGAUCUAGGAGCACAGAUAAGAGAACAGUUGAUGGGUCGGGUGCGGUGGCUCAGGCCUGUAAUCCUAACACUUUGGGAGGCUGAGGCGGGCAGAUCAUGAGGUCAAGAGAUGGAGACCAUCCUCGUUAACACGGUGAAACCCGUCUCUAUUAAAAAUACACAAAUUAGCUGCGCCAGGUAGCAGGUGCCUGUAGUCCCAGCUACUCGGGAGGCUGAGGCGGGAGAAUGGCGUGAACCCAGGAGGCGGAGGUUGCAGUGAGCCGAGAUCACGCCACUGCACUCCAGCCUGAACGACAGAGCGAGACUCCGUCUCAAAAAAAAAAAAAAAAAAAGACUUUGCAGGGAAGACCUAUGAAAAGGGUGAGAAAGGGCACAAGUUGCAGUAACAGUGUAAACAAAGCCAGAAAAAUUGCAAAGGUGUGUGCGUGUGUGAUCAUGCCCUGAUUCUUGUAUAGUUAAUUUCACCCCAGGCUUCUCAAACAGCACAGCCACAUGAUGUUUCAAAAAGUCCAAGUGGAACCUCUUCGGAAAGAUGCCCCACCAUUGGCAGAGGCUGUGACCUUUUUCCUCAGGUACCAGGGGUUGCUACAUGGGGAAUGGGUGGACACUGGGCUGUAAAUACUGCGUCUGGAAUUUAUUCCUUUUGGUGGAUGCUUGGUCUCGCUGACUUCAAGAAUGAAACCACGGACCUUCACGGUGAGCGUUACAGCUCUUAAAGAUGGUGUGUCCGGAGUUUGUUCCUUCAGAUGUUCAGAUGUGUCCGGAGUUUCUUCCUUCCAGUGGGUUCGUGGUCUCACUGACUUCAGGAGUGAAGCCGCACACCUUCGCAGUGAGUGUUACAGCUCUUAAAGGUGGCUCAUCUGGAGUUGUUUGUUCCUCCCGGUGGGUUUGUGGUCUUGCUGACUUCAGGAAUGCAGCCGCAGACCCUCGCAUUGAGUGUUACAGCUCAUGAAGGUAGUGCGGACCCAGAGUGAGCAGCAGCAAGAUUUACUGUGAAGAGCGAAAGAACAAAGCUUCCACAGCAUGGAAGGGCACCCGAGUGGGUUGCCUGCUGCUGGCUUCGCUGGCCAGCUUUUAUUGCCUUAUUUGGCCCCACCCACAUCCUGCUGAUUAGUCCAUUUUACAGAGUGCUGACUGGUGCGUUUACAGUCCUUUAGCUAGACACAGAGUGCUGAUUGGUGCGUUUUUACAGUGUGCUGAUUGGUGCAUUUACAAUACUUUAGCUAGACAAAGAGUGCUGAUUGGUGCGUUUUUAAUCCUCUAGCUAGACAGAAAAGUUUUCCAAGUCCCCACCCAACCUAGAAGCCCAGCUGGCUUCACCUCUCAAUACCUUCUUUCUUUAUCACUCCUCAUUUUCUUUACGACUGAUAUUUGGGUGGUAGAAAGCUCACAUCCUUUAUGGAAAGUCACCUUCCUAUAAGCUCCUCUGGAAGUAGAGUACAGAAAAAUCUAACUAGGCCUCUCAUGAGAUUACAAGCAAUGAGUGACAUUUCUACUACAACUUAUAAUGCCAGUGCAGGGCAAGGUAGAAACUGCAAGACUUCAGUCACUAUUCAGUUAUGUAAAGACUAACACGUGGGCACAGUGGCUCACGCCUGUAAUCCUAGCACUUUGGGAGGCCAUGGCAGGAAGAUUGCUUGAGCCCAGCAGUUGGAUACCAGCCUGUGCAACAUGGUGAGACACCAUCUCUACAAAAAAUAAAAAAAAUUAGCUGGGCGUAGUGGUGCAUGCCUGUGGCCCCAGCUACUGGGGAGGCUGAGGUGGGAAGAUCACUUGAGCUGGGGAGGUCGAGGCUGCAGGGAGCUGUGAUUGCACCACUGCGUUCCAGCCUGGGAGACAGAGCAAGAACUUGUCUCAAAAGAAAAAAAAAAAAAGAGCUAGACAAGGUGGCUCACUCCUGUAAUCUCAGCACUUUGAGAGGCCGAGGCAGGUGGAACCCCUCAGGUCAGGAGGUCCAAACCAGUGUAGCCAACAUGGUGAAAUUCUGUCUCUACUAAAAAUACAAAAAUUAGCCAGGCAUGGUGGCAUGCAUCUGUAGUCCCAGCUAUUUGGGAAGCUGAGGCAGGAGAAUUGCUUGAACCCGGGAGGCGGAGCUUGCAGCGAGCCAAGAUCACACCACUGCACUCCAGCCUGGGCAACAGAGCAAGACUCUGUCUCAAAAAAAUUUUAAAAAAAUUAAAAAAAAAGACUAACACAGGAAAAAACGGGAGAGACAUAUAGCUAUGGAGCAAUGUUCCUCCCUAAGACUCCAGUCAGUUCAUUGACACAUGUCCAGUUUGAAUUUUUUUUUUUUUUUAAAAGAAAGGCCAGGUUGUACCACCUUCCUUACAAUACAGAAACAAGCUCUCUCAACCACAAGCAUCAAUGACAUUAUCCAGUUUCGUGGAAUCACUGGCAAUGCCCCCAUGUAUCAGAAUGUCUUCUGUGGCUGAAUUUACAUGUGAAGGUUAAUUAAACAAAGCUUUAUUUCAGUAUCAUGGCUUGUUUGCAUUUACUCAUUCAUGUACCAACUGGCAUAAGUGAUACCUCCUCCAGGGAGCCUUCCUUGACUCUCAAGAUAGCCCUUCUCUGGCUGACAUAUACUUCUUGUAUUGAAACUAUGUGUCUGGGCCGGGCAUGGUGGCUCACACCUGUAAUCCCAGCACUUUGGGAGGCCGAGGCAGGCGGAUCACCUGAGUUCAGGAGUUUGAGACCAGCCUGGCCAACAUGGCAAAAGCCUGUCUCUACUAAAAAUACAAAAAUUAGGUGGGUGUGGUGGCGCAUUACUGUAAUCCCAGCUACUGGGGAGUCAGAGGCAGGAGAAUCGCUUGAACCCAGGAGGUGGAGGUUGUGGUGAGCUGAGAUCACCUCACUGCAUUCCGGCCUGAAGGACAGAGUGAGACUCUGUCUCAAAAAAAAAAAAAAAAAGAAAAAAGAAAGAAAGAAACUGUGUGUCUGUAUGUCUGUUUCCCACAACCACUCUGUGCUCCUCAAGAGAACUGUCAUGUUUAUACCUGUAUCCCCAGCACCCUCAACUAGGCCUGGAUAUAAGAGGUAAUGAGUGUUUACUGAAUUAAAUUGAAUAAAUUAGAGAGAUACAAUGUGGGGUUCGACGUGUGUCCAUAUAUUCUGUUUGUAACAUGCCUCUGACUCUGGAGAGGGAAGACAGGCUAUGCUGGCACCUAGACUCAGGCUUAGGUGCUAACAUUUAGAUGCUUCAGGUUUCCUUCAGUUGAGCCCAAGUCACCUGGAUAAGGAAAUUUAUGUAUUUUUAGUACAUAAGUGACAGAUUCAGGGCAAACUCAGUAAUAAAAGCAAGCUUCUGGCUUCAAGAUCCCAAGAGAUUUUCUCUUAAAGAGUUUGGGCUGGACGCAGUGGCUCAAGCCUGUAAUCCCAGCACUUUGGGAGGCCGAGGCGGGCAGAUCACGAGGUCAGGAGUUCAAAACCAGCCUGGCCAAAAUGGUGAAACCCCACCUCUACUAAAAAUACAAAAAUUAGACCGGGUGUGGUGGCUCAGACCGGGCGCGGUGGCUCAGACCGGGCGCGGUGGCUCACGCCUGUAAUCCCAGCACUUUGGGAGGCCGAGGAGGGCGGAUCAUCUGAGGUCAGGAGUUCGAGACCAGCCUGGCCAACAUGGUGAAACCCCGUCUCUUCUAAAAAUACAAAAAUUAGCCGGGCAUGGUGGCAGUUGCCUAUAAUCCCAGCUACUCGGGAGGCUGAGGCAGGAGAAUUGCCUGAAUACAGGAGGCGGAGGUUGCAGUGAGCCAAGAUCAUGCCACUGCAUACCAGCCUGGGCAACAGAGCAAGACUCCAUCUCAAAAAAAAAAAAAAAAGAAUUUUAUAGGCAACUAAAAUGGGUGGGACCAACCUGCCAUCCCAGCUACAGAGAGAAAAGCCAAACAUUAGUGGACUGGGACCUUACUGUGGAUGAAGAAUCUAGUAUCUGGGGCGGAAAGCAAGGUCCUCCCAGGAGAAGAGCAAGAAAGGAAGGUUGAUGCUAGAGCCCGUGGAAGGGUCUUAAAUUCUACAUUAAACGAGAUUCUACUUUCGUCUGUAGACAAUAGGAAAUGAUUUAAGAUUUUAUAAGCAGGGGAGGAGUAGGAUUUGAUUCAACAAAGAUUUAUGAAAUGUUUACUUUUGUACUAGUAUGAACAAGGGCAUAAAGUUGAGUUAAACAUAGUCACUGCCCUUUAGACAAGUACACAAGUGACUGUAAUGCAAGAUGAAAUAAGAAGUGAGUGAAACCCAAGAUGUAGAAAGAAAGGAUUAUAGAAGUCCAAAGGAAAUCCUUAUUUAUUUGAAACAGGAUCUGGCUCUGUCAUCCAGGCUGGAGUGCAGUGGCAUGAUCAUAGCUCACUGCAGCCUUGACCUCCAGUGCUCAGGUGAUCCUCCCACCUCAGCCUCCUGAGUAGCUGGAACUACAGACAUCAUAUAUGUAUAAUACAUGUAUAUUUAUAUAAUACAUAUGCUUCCAAUUAACUACUAUAAAUUUGUAUUAGGCGUGUGUGUGCAUGUGUUUGAGUGGGAAUGAAGGAACUGAUCUAGUGUGUCUGUUCAGGGCCCAGGCACUCAGAUUACUCUUUUUCCCCCUCAGUAUAACUCAAUGAGAUUUGAGUGAAAAAGAUCAAUCUCUGGAGAAGUGUUCUGUUUUCUUAUUUGCUUUGUUUUAUUUUUCUUGUGAAAUACAUUGUAAAUGAAAAGCAUAUAAGUAAUGCAUAUUAACAAUUUAAAUAAUUAUUUUACAAAGAAAACCUGUGUACUCGGCAGCCAACUUAAGAAACAGAAACUUUGAUGGCAGAGGUGGGCGGAUUACUUAAGACCAGGAGUUCGAGACCAGCCUGGCCAACAUGGUGAAACUCCAUCUCUACUAAAAUUACAAAAAUUAGCUGGGUGUGGUGGUGCAUGCUUGUAAUCCCAGCUACUUGGGAGGCUGAGGCAGAAGAACCACUUGAACCCAGGAGGCUGAGCUUGCA
RNAcentral lists this long non-coding RNA (12173 nucleotides) under Homo sapiens (human). RNAcentral's name for it is "non-protein coding lnc-CIB1-2:3". The record is from RNAcentral. Lineage: Eukaryota; Metazoa; Chordata; Mammalia; Primates; Hominidae.